RNAcentral lists this ribosomal RNA (497 nucleotides) under uncultured bacterium. Its description in RNAcentral is "partial 16S ribosomal RNA". It matches the Rfam family "Bacterial small subunit ribosomal RNA", at positions 28 to 507 of the family's 1533-position model. The record is from RNAcentral.
GAUGAACGCUGGCGGCGUGCCUAAUGCAUGCAAGUCGAGCGAACAGACGAGGAGCUUGCUCCUUUGACGUUAGCGGCGGACGGGUGAGUAACACGUGGGUAACCUACCUAUAAGACUGGGAUAACUUCGGGAAACCGGAGCUAAUACCGGAUAAUAUUUCGAACCGCAUGGUUCGAUAGUGAAAGAUGGCUUUGCUAUCACUUAUAGAUGGACCUGCGCCGUAUUAGCUAGUUGGUAAGGUAACGGCUUACCAAGGCAACGAUACGUAGCCGACCUGAGAGGGUGAUCGGCCACACUGGAACUGAGACACGGUCCAGACUCCUAAGGGAGGCAGCAGUAAGGAAUCUUCCGCAAUGGGCGAAAGCCUGACGGAGCAACACCGCGUGAGUGAUGAAGAUCUUCGGAUCGUAAAACUCUGUUAUUAGGGAAGAACAAACGUGUAAGUAACUGUGCACGUCUUGACGGUACCUAAUCAGAAAGCCACGGCUAACUACGUG